ACGCAAUAGGUGUGUUACACUUUCUCAAUAAUUCCUUGUAUCGUUCCCAUGCUUCAUACAAUGUUUCAGACUCCAUCUGUCAAAAAUAAGAAAUAUCAUUUUUUAGCUU
Molecule: small nucleolar RNA, 109 nt
Organism: Dioscorea cayenensis subsp. rotundata (Guinea yam)
Lineage: Eukaryota; Viridiplantae; Streptophyta; Magnoliopsida; Dioscoreales; Dioscoreaceae
Source: RefSeq, a predicted model, not a curated record